This 304-nucleotide ribosomal RNA is filed under the name uncultured bacterium. Its description in RNAcentral is "partial 16S ribosomal RNA". It matches the Rfam family "Bacterial small subunit ribosomal RNA", at positions 506 to 809 of the family's 1533-position model. The record is from RNAcentral.
CAGCAGUAGCCGCGGUAAUACAGAGGGUGCGAGCGUUAAUCGGAUUUACUGGGCGUAAAGCGUGCGUAGGCGGCUUCUUAAGUCGGAUGUGAAAUCCCUGAGCUUAACUUAGGAAUUGCAUUCGAUACUGGGAAGCUAGAGUAUGGGAGAGGAUGGUAGAAUUCCAGGUGUAGCGGUGAAAUGCGUAGAGAUCUGGAGGAAUACCGAUGGCGAAGGCAGCCAUCUGGCCUAAUACUGACGCUGAGGUACGAAAGCAUGGGGAGCAAACAGGAUUAGAUACCCCUGUAGUCCCUGUCUCUUAUAA